RNAcentral lists this ribosomal RNA (2343 nucleotides) under Triticum aestivum (bread wheat). RNAcentral's name for it is "partial small subunit ribosomal RNA". The record is from RNAcentral. Lineage: Eukaryota; Viridiplantae; Streptophyta; Magnoliopsida; Poales; Poaceae.
AUGCAGCAGCGCGCUCCCGCCGAGCGCUCCACAGCGGCGUCCCUGCACGCGCACGUCCUCCACCUCCACCAAUGCGGCGCCGCCGGUAACCUCCUCCGCCGCGCGCACGCGGCCGCCCUGACAUCCGGCGCGCUGGCCGCGUCCCUGCCCCUCGCGGGCGCGUUCAUCCUCUCCUACGCCGCGGCCGCCGACCUGCCCUCCUCCCGCCGCCUCCUCCUCCACCACCCGCUCCGCCUCCGCUCGGCCUUCCUCUGGAACUCGCUCUCCCGCGCGCUCUCCUCGGCCUCCCUCCCCGCCGAGGCCCUGCGCGUCUACAACCUCAUGCUCCGCUCCGCCGUCCGCCCGGACGACCGCACCUUCCCCUUCGCCCUCCACGCCACCGCGGCCGCGGCCGCCGACGCCGCGCACGCGGCCAAGGGCCUCGAGCUCCACGCCGCCGCGCUGCGUACGGGCCACCUCGCCGACGUCUUCGCGGGCAACACGCUCGUCUCCUUCUACGCCGCCUGUGGCUCCGCCCGUGACGCGCGCAGGGCGUUCGAUGAAAUGCCCGCCCGGGACGUCGUCUCCUGGAACUCCCUCGUAUCCGCGUUCUUGGCCAACAGGAUGUUCGAUGAUGCGAGGUGGGCGUUGGUCGGUAUGAUGGGGAGCGGGGUCCCUGUGAGCGUGGCGAGCUUGGUCUCGGUUCUGCCUGCUUGUGGCGUGGAGCAGGAGCAGGGGUUUGGGUUGGCUCUGCAUGGACUGGCGCUGAAGACCGGGCUGGACUCCGUGCUCAAUCUCGGAAAUGCAUUGGUUGAUAUGUACGGGAAGUUUUGUCAAGUGGAGGCAUCGAUGCAGGUGUUUGAAGUAAUGCCAGAGAGAAAUGAGGUUUCUUGGAAUUCUGCCAUAGGUUGUUUUCUUAAUUCAGGGCUUUAUGGAGAUGUGCUGGCCAUGUUUAGGGAAAUGUCAGAGCGUGGAGUCAUGCCAGGGUCUAUCACAUUAUCAAGUCUGCUACCUGCUUUGGUUGAGCUUGGUUAUUUUGAUCUGGGGAGGGAGGUACAUGCGUAUAGUAUAAAGAGAGCAAUGGACUCAGAUAUUUUUGUUGCCAAUUCACUUGUGGAUAUGUAUGCCAAACUUGGUUCUCUGGAGAAAGCCUGCACUGUUUUUGAAAAGAUUGAGGUACCCAAUGUGGUGUCAUGGAAUGCAAUGAUCGCUAACCUUGUGCAAAAUGGAGCUGAGACUGAGGCAUUCCGUCUUGUUAUCAAGAUGCAAAAGGAUGGGGAACGGCCAAAUUCGAUAACCCUGGUGAAUGUACUUCCAGCCUGCUCAAGGAUGUCCUCUCUAAAGAUAGGGAAACAGAUCCAUGCAUGGUCGAUCCGUACAGGAUUAGUAUUCGACUUAUUCAUAUCAAAUGCUUUGAUUGAUAUGUACGCGAAGUGCGGGCAGCUGAGCUUGGCGCAAAAUAUUUUUGACUUGUCAGAGAAGGAUGAUGUGUCAUACAACGCGUUGCUUCUGGGUUAUUCUCAGAGUCCAUGGAGUUCUGAAUCUCUUAAUCUAUUUAAGGAGAUAAGGUCUGCGGGAAUCGAGUAUGAUGCUAUUUCUUUCAUGGGUGCUCUGACUGCAUGUACCAAUUUAUGUGCAUUUAAACAAGGGAAAGAAAUUCAUGGUGUUUUAAUAAGGAGAUUACAAAGUAAUCAUCCCUUUCUGGCCAAUUCACUGCUAGGUUUGUAUACUAAAGGUGGAAUGCUUGAUACUGCAACAAAGAUCUUCAAUAGGAUUACAGAGAAGGAUGUUGCUUCAUGGAAUACCAUGAUCAUGGGGCAUGGAAUGCAUGGCCAAAUUGAUGUUGCUUUCCAUUUGUUUGAUCUGAUGAAGGAUGAUGGUGUUGACUAUGAUCAUGUGUCUUACAUUGCAGUGCUGUCGGCAUGCAGCCAUGGUGGGCUUGUUGAGAAAGGAAAACAGUACUUCAGUCAAAUGCGUGCCCAAAAUUUAGAGCCACAACAAAUGCAUUAUGCUUGCAUGGUUGAUCUUCUUGGGCGUACUGGACAACUGACUGAAUCUGUUGAACUAAUCCUAGACAUGCCUUUCCAUGCCAAUUCCGAUGUGUGGGGAGCACUGCUUGGGGCUUGCCGAAUACAUGGAAAUAUUGAAGUAGCACAAUAUGCAGCAGAACAUUUGUUUGAGUUGAAGCCAGAGCAUUCGGGUUACUACACACUGCUGAUAAACAUGUAUGCCGAGGCUGGUAGGUGGAAUGAAGCAAACAAGAUCAGGAAAUUAAUGAAAUCCAGGAAGGUACAAAAAAAUCCAGCCUAUAGCUGGGUACAGAGUGGCAACAAGCUACAAGCUUUUCUUGUGGGGAAUGGUUAG